RNAcentral lists this transfer RNA (76 nucleotides) under bacterium. Its description in RNAcentral is "tRNA-Ala". It matches the Rfam family "tRNA". Rfam says of the family: Transfer RNA (tRNA) molecules are approximately 80 nucleotides in length. Their secondary structure includes four short double-helical elements and three loops (D, anti-codon, and T loops). The record is from RNAcentral.
GGGGAAUUAGCUCAGUUGGGAGAGCGCCUCCAUGGCAUGGAGGAGGUCAGGGGUUCGAGCCCCCUAUUCUCCACCA